This 477-nucleotide ribosomal RNA is filed under the name uncultured anaerobic ammonium-oxidizing bacterium. RNAcentral describes it as "bacterial SSU rRNA". It matches the Rfam family "Bacterial small subunit ribosomal RNA", at positions 365 to 832 of the family's 1533-position model. The record is from RNAcentral.
UUCGCAAUGCCCGAAAGGGUGACGAAGCGACGCCGCGUGAGCGAAGAAGGGCCUAGGGUUGUAAAGCUCUGUCGAGGGUUAUGAAAUAUAGAUGGGUUAAUACCCCAUUUAUUUGACAAAAGCCCAAAAGGAAGCCACGGCUAACUCUGUGCCAGCAGCCGCGGUAAUACAGAGGAGGCGAGCAUUGUUCGGUAUUAUUGGGCGUAAAGAGCACGUAGGUGGUUUUGUAAGUCAGGUGUGAAAGCCUUCUGUUCAAAGGAAGAACGGCAUCUGAAACUGCAGAUCUUGAGUGUGGGAGGGGAGAGUGGAACUUCUGGUGGAGCGGUGAAAUGCGUAGAUAUCAGAAGGAACGUCGGCGGCGAAAGCGACUCUCUGGCCUAUUACUGACACUGAGUGUGCGAAAGUUAGGGGAGCAAACGGGAUUAGAUACCCCGGUAGUCCUAACCGUAAACGAUGGGCACUAAGUAGAGGGGUUUU